UACAGAGGGUGCAAGCGUUAAUCGGAAUUACUGGGCGUAAAGAGCACGUAGGUGGUUGUUCAAGUUGGAUGUGAAAGCCCCGGGCUCAACCUGGGAAGGUCAUCCAAAACUGGACGACUAGAGUAUGGUAGAGGGAAGUGGAAUUUCCGGUGUAGCGGUGAAAUGCGUAGAUAUCGGAAGGAACACCAGUGGCGAAGGCGACUUCCUGGACUAAUACUGACACUGAGGUGCGAAAGCGUGGGGAGCAAACAGG
RNAcentral lists this ribosomal RNA (253 nucleotides) under uncultured bacterium. RNAcentral describes it as "partial 16S ribosomal RNA". It matches the Rfam family "Bacterial small subunit ribosomal RNA", at positions 524 to 776 of the family's 1533-position model. The record is from RNAcentral.